Molecule: ribosomal RNA, 490 nt
Filed under: uncultured bacterium
Lineage: Bacteria
Description: partial 16S ribosomal RNA
Rfam family: Bacterial small subunit ribosomal RNA
Source: RNAcentral
AGUGAACGCUGGCGGCAGGCCUAAUACAUGCAAGUCGAACGGCAGCACAGCAGAGCUUGCUCUGUGGGUGGCGAGUGGCGGACGGGUGAGGAAUACAUGGGAAUCUGCCCAGUCGUGGGGGAUAACGUAUGGAAACGUACGCUAAUACCGCAUGCGCCCUUUGGGGGAAAGCCGGGGACCUUCGGGCCUGGCGCGAUUGGAUGAGCCCAUGUUCGAUUAGCUAGUUGGCGGGGUAAAGGCCCACCAAGGCGACGAUCGAUAGCUGGUCUGAGAGGAUGAUCAGUCACACUGGGACUGAGACACGGCCCAGACUCCUACGGGAGGCAGCAGUAGGGAAUAUUGGACAAUGGGCGCAAGCCUGAUCCAGCCAUGCCGCGUGAGUGAAGAAGGCCCUCGGGUUGUAAAGCUCUUUUGUCCGGAAAGAAAAGCAUUCGGUUAAUACCCGGGUGUUCUGACGGUACCGGAAGAAUAAGCACCGGCUAACUUCGUG